Molecule: long non-coding RNA, 467 nt
Filed under: Physcomitrium patens
Lineage: Eukaryota; Viridiplantae; Streptophyta; Bryopsida; Funariales; Funariaceae
Description: long non-coding RNA (PPAT_LNC003431)
Source: RNAcentral
UUGCAGAUUAUUUUUUUUUCUUCACUCAAUGCAAAGGUACAAAGAAUCAUCUUGUGUCCACCAUCUUUGAUGGAGAUUGUCAUUGCUAUCCAAUCAACUUGCUUAUUUUUCACCUCUAGCCAUUGUAUACCAAGGAUAAUAUGAUAUCUGAGCUUUGUUACUUUGAACCUCUCUCUUAAGAUGUAGGUGUCAGUCAACUUCAAGGUUUCUUCUUUACAUGUAUCAUUUAAUACAUUCUCUUGGUCAUCUACAAGUAUAUACUUCUUCCUUUGAUUAUCUUAGUUUUAAUCCCAAGUUGGUUGGCAAUUUUGGUCAAGAUGCAAUUUUUUGUAGAGCCACAAUCUACAAGCACUCAACAUGGUUGUCUUUCUAGUAGUCCCAUUAAAUGUACUAGUUGAAUCUUUUUAUAGUUGUCUAAGGCCAUGCCAUUUAUCUUUGAGAGAUAGUAAUUAUUUCCAUUACUGGCC